Non-coding RNA from Ictidomys tridecemlineatus (thirteen-lined ground squirrel), 72 nucleotides. NCBI's taxonomy places the organism in Eukaryota, Metazoa, Chordata, Mammalia, Rodentia, Sciuridae. The record is from Rfam.
AGAGAUGUAGCUCAGUGACAGAGUACUUCUCUAGCAUAAAUGAGGCCCUGGGUUCAAUCCCCAGUAUUGUCA